AAUCUGAGAAUAAAGAAAAAAUUAAGAAUUUAUUUCAUGGAAAAGAAGCAAAAUGCUUCUGACAAAAACUUUGUAGAAUUUGUUGUAGCUAAGCUCCCUUACUGAAUUAAUCUGAGUUUAAAAAAGCCAGUGAAAUAACUGCAUCUUCUACACAUAUAUUGAAUGUUGUUUCCAAGCAUUUACAUCAAAGAACUGAAAACUCUAGGUUAAUUUGCACAUCAUCUAAUGGAAAUUGAAUCAGCAGAUACAAGUAAACAAUGACUUUUGUUAAUAUUACCAUAAUCAAAUAACUGUACCAAGUAAAAUAAUCACUGUUUAGAUUCAAGCAGUGGCUUCUUUCCUAGACAGUUUUGAUAUUUGUCUGAAGACAGAACUUCAAAGAAGGUGCAUUGUGACAUAAUAUUGCAGUGGAUCCUUACACUACAGAGAAUAUUUGGAUAACUCACAAAAUGACUGACUGUGUACUCUACUGAUGCAGUCAUGUGAACAAAAUCUCAAAAAGCCAGCUCUACAGCAUAGACUGCACUUGAGGACUGACAUAAAAUACUACAUACACACUCAAAUUAAUAAAACCUCCCAGGAGUGCUUUCAUUAGACUACAAAGACAUCAUAGGAUGGUUAAAAAAGAAAACAUAUCUGAGGAUUAGUAACUCCUGACAGAUGGCAAAAUCUAUGAAGUCAGCUUUAGAAAAUGGCAAAAAGCCAACAAAAUCACAAAAGCUUCUGGGUGCAUGGGAACAAAAGCAUGCAGAAGAACAUUAUCAACCA
Gallus gallus (chicken) is the source of this 768-nucleotide long non-coding RNA. RefSeq lists it as uncharacterized. NCBI's taxonomy places the organism in Eukaryota, Metazoa, Chordata, Aves, Galliformes, Phasianidae. The transcript has 3 exons. The record is from RefSeq and is a predicted model, not a curated record.